GACGAACGCUGGCGGCGUGCUUAACACAUGCAAGUCGAACGAGAAUCUGUGGAAAGAGGAUUCGUCCAAUUGAAGCAGAGGACAGUGGCGGACAGGUGAGUAACGCGUGAGGAACCUGCCUUUCAGAGGGGGACAACAGUUGGAAACGACUGCUAAUACCGCAUAAUGCAUAGAAGUCGCAUGGCUUUUAUGCCAAAGAUUUAUCGCUGAAAGAUGGCCUCGCGUCUGAUUAGCUGGUUGGUGAGGUAACGGCCCACCAAGGCGACGAUCAGUAGCCGGACUGAGAGGUUGAACGGCCACAUUGGGACUGAGAUACGGCCCAGACUCCUACGGGAGGCAGCAGUGGGGAAUAUUGGGCAAUGGGCGCAAGCCUGACCCAGCAACGCCGCGUGAAGGAAGAAGGCUUUCGGGUUGUAAACUUCUUUUGUCAGGGACGAGAAGAAGACGGUACCUGACGAAUAAGCCACGGCUAACUACGUGCCAGCAGCC
Molecule: ribosomal RNA, 489 nt
Filed under: uncultured bacterium
Lineage: Bacteria
Description: bacterial SSU rRNA
Rfam family: Bacterial small subunit ribosomal RNA
Source: RNAcentral